RNAcentral lists this microRNA precursor (103 nucleotides) under Oikopleura dioica. Its description in RNAcentral is "microRNA odi-mir-1495 precursor". The record is from miRBase by way of RNAcentral. Lineage: Eukaryota; Metazoa; Chordata; Appendicularia; Copelata; Oikopleuridae.
AGUGAAAAUUCGAGUUUCAGAAUUUGUUUCGUGCGGUAUUUCAGUUCUGUAUUUUCAAUCUUGGAAGUGUAAUACCCAUGGAAGCAUUUUCGAAUUUGACCAA